Molecule: ribosomal RNA, 264 nt
Filed under: uncultured archaeon
Lineage: Archaea
Description: partial 16S ribosomal RNA
Rfam family: Archaeal small subunit ribosomal RNA
Source: RNAcentral
AGUCACUGACAUUAGAUACCCGGGUAGUCCCAGCCGUAAACUAUGCGCGUUAGGUGUAUCGGUGACCACGAGUUACCGAGGUGCCGAAGGGAACCGUGAAACGUGCCGCCUGGGAAGUACGGUCGCAAGGCUGAAACUUAAAGGAAUUGGCGGGGGAGCACAACAACGGGUGGAGCCUGCGGUUUAAUUGGACUCAACGCCGGACAACUCACCGGGGACGACAGCAAUAUGUAGGCCAGGCUGAAGACCUUGCCUGAAUCGCUG